Molecule: long non-coding RNA, 1731 nt
Filed under: Gallus gallus (chicken)
Lineage: Eukaryota; Metazoa; Chordata; Aves; Galliformes; Phasianidae
Description: lncRNA (ENSGALG00010025906.1)
Source: RNAcentral
GGGGGGGGGGCGCUACGCGGCCGACGCGCAUGCGCGUGCGGGACCCGGAUUGCGCCCCCCGGGCGGAGCUGAGGGGAUGGCAGAGGAGGGGGCGGCGGGACGGGACGGAGUGGGAUGGGGGCAUGGAUGGGGGGUCGGGAUGGGGUAUGGGUGGGUAUGGGGUGGUGUGCUGUAGGUUGGGGUAUGGGGUGAGGGUGGGAGGGGGAUGGGAUGGGGAUGAUUCAGGUUUGGGAUGCGUAUGGGAUGGGUAUGGGAUUGAUAUGGGAUGGGUAUGGUGUAGGUAUGAUAUAGGUAUGGAAUGGGUAUGGUAUAGGUUUGGGAUGAGUACGGUAUGGGUAUAGGAGGGGUAUGGGAUGGGUACGGUAUGGGUACGGUAUGGGUACGGUAUGGGUACGGUAUGGGUAUGGGAUGGGUAUGGGAUGGGUAUGGGAUGCAUACGGUAUAGGUUUGGGAUGGGUAUGGUAUAGAUAUAGCAUGGGUACGGUAUAGGCAUGGUGUGGGUACGGUAUAGACAUGGGGUGGGUAUGGGAUGAGUAUGGGAUGGGAAUGGUAUAGGUUUGGGAUGAAUAUGAUAUAGGCAUGGGAAGGGUAUGGUAUAGGUUUGGGAUGGGUAUUGGUUGGGUGUGGGAUGGGAAUGGGAUGGAUAUGGGAUGGGAAUGGUAUAGGUUUGGGAUUGGUAUGGUAUAGGCAUGGUGUGGGUAUGGGAUCGAUAUGGAAUGGGUAUGGUAUAGGUAUGGGAUGGUUAUGGGAUGGAUAUAUUAUAGUUAUGGGAUGGGUAUAGGAUGCGUAUGGUAUAGGUAUAUAAUGGCUGUGGUAUAGGUAUGGUAUAGGUAAGGGCAUGGCAUGAGUACAGUAUGGGGGGGGCACGGUGUAGGUUGGGGAAUGGAAUAGGUAAUGUAUGGGAUGGGUAUGGUGUAGGUAUGGGAUGGGUAUGGUGUAGGUAUGGGUAUGGGAUGGGUAUGGUGUAGGUAUGGGGAUGGGAUGGGUAUGGUGUAGGUAUGAGGUGGGAUGGGUAUGGUGUAGAUAUGGGUAUGGGAUGGGUAUGGUGUAGGUAUGAGGUGGGAUGGGUAUGGUGUAGGUAUGGGAUGGGAUGGGUAUGGGAUGGGUAUGGGAAGAGAUGGGAUGGGAUGGAUAUGGUGUAGAUAUGGGUAUGGGAUGGGUAUGGUGUAAGUAUGGGAUGGGAUGGGUAUGGUGUAGAUAUGUGUAUGGGAGGUGCAUGGGAUGGGUAUGGUGUAGGUAUGGGUACGGGGUGGGUAUGAUGUAGGUAUAGGAUGGGAUGGGUAUGGUGUAGGUAUGGGUACGGGGUGGGUAUGAUGUAGGUAUAGGAUGGGAUGGGUAUGGUGUAGGUAUGGGUACGGGGUGGUGUAGGAAUGGUGAGGUGGGGGCAUGGUGAGGGUGGGGGGGUCACAGCACAGGGUGGGCACUGCAAUGGCGCAGGUCCGGGAUUUGAUGCCGAACUGCUGUCGGCUCCUCAGUGCGGUGGGGGGGGGACUUCAGCUCAUCCCAGCGCGGCGUUCCGUCCCUCCUUCACCGCCAUCCGCGCUGUUGUGCACCGCUCCGAAAAGCCCCCACCGAACCGGGGGGUGGGGGGGGGGUUCAGGAUGGCCCACCCUCCACGACUCCUCCAUCACUUUCUGCAUCUGCGCCCCCCCCCGACAGCCACGGCUGCAGGGAUGGUGUCACAGCUCUGACAUCAGAGCCAAACCGUGACGUCACUCCCCAUCCCGUGAC